CGAAUGCUGACAUAAGUAACGAUAAAGCGGGUGAAAAGCCCGCUCGCCGGAAGACCAAGGGUUCCUGUCCAACGUUAAUCGGGGCAGGGUGAGUCGACCCCUAAGGCGAGGCCGAAAGGCGUAGUCGAUGGGAAACAGGUUAAUAUUCCUGUACUUGGUGUUACUGCGAAGGGGGGACGGAGAAGGCUAUGUUGGCCGGGCGACGGUUGUCCCGGUUUAAGCGUGUAGGCUGGUUUUCCAGGCAAAUCCGGAAA
Molecule: ribosomal RNA, 254 nt
Filed under: Escherichia coli
Lineage: Bacteria; Pseudomonadati; Pseudomonadota; Gammaproteobacteria; Enterobacterales; Enterobacteriaceae
Also listed under: 1 other name
Description: partial 23S ribosomal RNA
Rfam family: Bacterial large subunit ribosomal RNA
Source: RNAcentral